Molecule: long non-coding RNA, 613 nt
Filed under: Homo sapiens (human)
Lineage: Eukaryota; Metazoa; Chordata; Mammalia; Primates; Hominidae
Description: HSALNT0280151
Source: RNAcentral
CAAAGGUACACUUUUAAAUCUGUCUCUGAAAAAUGCAUUGGUUUUGAAUCCAAUUCACUCUACAACCCUUGCUUUUGGGAUCCAGGAGGAACCUUUCCAAAAAGGGUUUUUGGUUUGUUUUUUUUGUUUUGCCUUCAUGGAGUGACCUGAGCCAAGAUGGAUGCAGCAAAUGUCAAGGUGCUAGGAUGGUAGAGCCACAAGGCAGAAGGAUCAUGGGUCCCUUAGUCAUCACAAGGAGACAAGUAACCAUGGGCAUUCAUCUGUUAUGGCUUCAACAUGAGAACCUGGGGUGGAGGACACAAACAUUUGGUUCAUAACAUCUGACAUGGCUUUCUUGAGACCAGAACCAGCUCAUGAAAAGAGUCCAAUCAGAUGAAAAUGCUAAAGCUUGGAGAGUUUGAACCCCUUGCCUGAGGUCCUCAAGUGGUGGAGCUGGAAUUCAAACCGCAGGCAUCCAACUCCAGAGUCCUCAGUCAUAACUGAUCUGUGAUAUUGACUCUAUUCUAAUAAACAACUUUAACAAAAUCUGUGAUAUUGACUCUCUUCUAAUAAACAACUUUAACUUUAUUCAUCUUAAUUACUGAAAAAAUAAUCACCAAACAUAGUACUCUAU